Myotis lucifugus (little brown bat) is the source of this 327-nucleotide long non-coding RNA. RefSeq lists it as uncharacterized. The transcript has 3 exons. Lineage: Eukaryota; Metazoa; Chordata; Mammalia; Chiroptera; Vespertilionidae. The record is from RefSeq and is a predicted model, not a curated record.
CCAGAACACUUCAAACCAACUCUCAGUCACCCCCGCCUCACCCUACCCCUGUCCCAUCCACAUAUCUGGGGAGGAAGAUCAGACACCACUGAAGAAAUGUUAAGAAGGGGGACAAGACUCUAAGAACUCUAGGUUGUGCUUUGGGUUGCUCCUUCUUCAGUAUUGAGAAGUUUGUAUGAAGAAGUGGAAAUAAGAAAGGAGAAGUAUCUGGAGGUUGGGCAAGAGGAUGGCUUUUGAGAAAGAAAAUACCUAGAAGAUCAUAUCAUCAAGCACCAGGAUAUUGAAGAUAACAUCGAGGCUCCAGGCCCAGAAAAGCAACAAAACCAG